RNAcentral lists this transfer RNA (65 nucleotides) under Curculionoidea sp. 31 KM-2017. RNAcentral describes it as "tRNA-His". Lineage: Eukaryota; Metazoa; Arthropoda; Insecta; Coleoptera. The record is from RNAcentral.
ACUAAAAUAAUUUAAGUAAAAUAUCAAUUUGUGGGAUUGAAAACGUAGAAAGGCUACUUUUAGUA